Molecule: transfer RNA, 71 nt
Filed under: Nothobranchius furzeri (turquoise killifish)
Lineage: Eukaryota; Metazoa; Chordata; Actinopteri; Cyprinodontiformes; Nothobranchiidae
Description: tRNA-Ala (TGC) (tRNA-Ala-TGC-12-1)
Rfam family: tRNA
About the family: Transfer RNA (tRNA) molecules are approximately 80 nucleotides in length. Their secondary structure includes four short double-helical elements and three loops (D, anti-codon, and T loops).
Source: Rfam by way of RNAcentral
GGGGAUGUGGCUCAGUGGUAGAGUGCAUGCUUUGCAUGUAUGACACCCAGGUUCAAUCCCUGGUGUCUCCA